CAUCUACUCCCUCCGUUCUGAAUUACUUGUCUUAGAUUUGUCUAGAUACGGAGGUAUCUAGCACUAAACCGUAUCUAGACAAAUCCAAGACAAGUAAUUCGGAACGGAGGGAGUAGCUA
Triticum aestivum (bread wheat) is the source of this 119-nucleotide non-coding RNA. Lineage: Eukaryota; Viridiplantae; Streptophyta; Magnoliopsida; Poales; Poaceae. The record is from Rfam.